Molecule: long non-coding RNA, 3314 nt
Filed under: Brassica napus (rape)
Lineage: Eukaryota; Viridiplantae; Streptophyta; Magnoliopsida; Brassicales; Brassicaceae
Description: long non-coding RNA (BNAP_LNC006145)
Source: RNAcentral
AUCUGCACCGUCUUGAAGACGUAGAAGAAGGCGUUACGCUGCAUGAGCAGCCACUCUUUGUCCCAGCAGCUCUUGAGAAGCUCCAUCUUCGAGACGGAGUACUUGUCGAAAACAAGAGCUGCUUUGUGGCCGCGAGACUUGUCGAAAGGUACAGAGAGCUCGUUGGAAAGCUUCUGCCCAACGUGGAAGGACUUGUAUCUGCUGGCGAACUCCGAAACCGGAAUGUACCGGUAAGGUCUGUUCCGGUCCACCCAGUAUUGCUCCUGGUCUUUCUUGGAGGUGACCUCUUGCAAAAAAUCAGCCGUUCCUUUUCUCUCGGGACACUUGAACCCAAAGCUCUCGAAGAACUCGAGGAUGUGGUCUCUGGGUCCUUGGUAUACUAUCUGCCCCUCCGACAACAAGAUGAUGUCAUCGAAUAAGUCAAAAGUCUCGGGAGCAGGCUGGAGGAGGGACAUGAGCACCGUGGCGUCAGUGAGGUGAACGAUCUGCUGAAGGCACUUGACGAUUUGGAAAGUGGUGGAGCUGUCAAGACCGGUGGAUAUCUCGUCCAUGAAAAGCGUCUUGGUAGGUCCCACAAUCAUCUCACCGGUUGUGACACGUUUCUUCUGUCCUCCGGAGAUACCUCUCAUCAUGUCAUCUCCAACUAUGGUGUCUUUGCAAAUGUCAAGCCCCAGAAUCUGUUCCAAGAAUCAGAGUUUUAGUAUCAGUAUUGUGCCAAAACAACAACAUAAAACAAUCAUAGUGAUUCUUGUGUUUUCAAAUCCGAAUCAAACUUUUAUAAUAUCCGAAUGGGGCUGAAAUUCAUAAACUCGAAAAUCCCAAAAUUGAACUCGAACCUAAACCCGAUUGGUCCCAAUGUCCAGUUCUACUUAGAAUUAAUAUUUAAAAAAAAUAAAAAAUUAAACAGGUUAGGGAAGAGAGGCUCCUCACUUUGAGAGUGUAAUCAGUGACGAGGCUGCUCUUAACACCUUGAGCAGCGGAGGCUUUCAUGAAGAGAUCAACAUCGGCUUCAGGGAAGAUCCCAGCGUCCUUUUCUCUCCUUGCCAGCUCGUUCAACAGAUCUGCAAGAUCAUAAUCCCAUUCAUUCAACAAUAGCACAUAAAAAUAAAAUAAAAUAAAAUGAAGUCAAGAUUGUUGUUAUUACCGUAACGGGUACCAACACCUUGGCACCUAGCGGAAAAAUCAAGAGUCUCCUUAACCGUCAUGAUACCAACGUGUAGAUCGUUCUGGCUAAUAUACGCAGACGUUUUUCUAGGAACAAACUCGUCGAGGCGGUAACCGUUGUAAGUAAUAUCACCAGUGACCUCAAGGGCUUUGUCAAGCUUUCCAGCAAGAGCCAAUAGAAGCGUGGUCUUACCAGAAGAAGGUGGACCCAACAAAAGCGUCAUCCUCCCAGGUUUGACACUCCCAGAGAUAUCUUUAAGAAUCGUCAGCUGAGCUUUCUUAGCAAACUGAAUCCCAAUCAUCCCCAGAGCAGACUCCGCCAUGUUCCUCACCACGUUAAGAAGCGUGGGGAGAGAUCUAUUACCAGUGUAGCAGUCGGCUUUGAUGGUCAGGUGCUCGUACCUCACCUCUACAGUAGGUAGCUUGAUGCCGACUCUAUCUAUCCUGUUCCUCAGCUUGGUCAAGAUCCGCUCGUUGUCUUGCUCGGCGACUUUGAAAACCAUGUCGAUGAACUUCUGACGAUCCUCUCCGUCGAGCUUGGUCACGUCGACCUCCUUGCUGAGGAGCUGGUUGCCGUAGACGUCGUCCUCGAUGACGGAGGUCAUGAGAGUGGUGCGGAGACGGCUGUAGGUGGGGAGUUUCUCGAUGGCGGCCCAUUUGAGAGCCUCUUCGUCGUCGUUGACGGACUGCGUGCGUCUAGAACCGGAGGAGAAGAUGUCUUCGAGGUUUCUGCUGGCUCUGCUGACGCUUCUGCUGAUGCUUCGCCGCAUACUCCCACCUCCUCCGCCUAGCGGAAGGUUUGGGUUGUAAUCCAUCUUUGCCUGAACUAUUCUCUUUCUGACUUGGUGGGGGAGUAGUAAAGUUUUUGGUGUUUAGAGACUGAUCUGGUCUAAAAGAACAAGUCUGAUGAUUUGGUUGGAGGAUGCAGAGAGGAAGAUGGGAUUAGAAAAUGGAUAUAUAGGCAGUGAAGAAGGAACAUCAAGGUGGACUUUUCCUUGAUAUUUCCUCCUUGUCUAUUUCUCUUUCUUGGUUACUAUGGAAAAAAAAUUAAUAUCAUCUUUGUCGUUAAAUGCAAGAGGACUAUUAUUCAAAUAUGGGGUGCUGACUGAGGAUGGCGGCUAUCUUACGCCCGUUUUUAUUUUAUUAUUUUCAUCUCUAUCAAAAUACGUAAUAAUUGAACAUUUCCUUAAUAAACUAGUCGAUUCCGUUAUCUUCAAAGUCAACAAAAGAUAACAACAGGAGGAGAGGACCUCAAAUUCCAGUGAGUUUGUUUUUUUGUACAUUUUUCCGAAGGUAGAAAAAGAAAAAGAAAGACGUGAAGUGGGUUUUUUAAGUCAUUGUGUUCUGGAAUUUGAGAAAGGGCGGAUGAAUGAGUCAAUUCAACACAUUUGGAGAAGACCGGAAUCAGCUAUUGGAAAGCAUAUUUACACUUCUAGAAUUCUUAAGUAAAUUUGAUUACGGAGACUUUUGUAGAGUUCAGUUUACAGGUAACGGGUUUAAAUGCCAGGAUGACUGACUUAGUCAACAGAUGAAACGCAGAGUUUUGCAAGCGAAUGAGAAAAGUCAAACAAACAUUGUUUUUAAGUAAAUCUAUAAAGACUCUUAAAUUCCUUUUCAAUCUCUCACAAAAUUGUUUUUAAGUCUAUAAAGACCCUUAAAUUCCUUUUCAAUCUCUCACAAAUGUACAAUUCGCCUUCCUUUCGUGAUGGCGGCGAUGAUGAUGAUCUGCACCGUCUUGAAGACGUAGAAGAAGGCGUUACGCUGCAUGAGCAGCCACUCUUUGUCCCAGCAGCUCUUGAGAAGCUCCAUCUUCGAGACGGAGUACUUGUCGAAAACAAGAGCUGCUUUGUGGCCGCGAGACUUGUCGAAAGGUACAGAGAGCUCGUUGGAAAGCUUCUGCCCAACGUGGAAGGACUUGUAUCUGCUGGCGAACUCCGAAACCGGAAUGUACCGGUAAGGUCUGUUCCGGUCCACCCAGUAUUGCUCCUGGUCUUUCUUGGAGGUGACCUCUUGCAAAAAAUCAGCCGUUCCUUUUCUCUCGGGACACUUGAACCCAAAGCUCUCGAAGAACUCGAGGAUGUGGUCUCUGGGUCCUUGGUAUACUAUCUGCCCCUCCGACAACAAGAUGAUGUCAUCGAAUAAGUCAAAAG